Molecule: ribosomal RNA, 366 nt
Filed under: Enterococcus cecorum
Lineage: Bacteria; Bacillati; Bacillota; Bacilli; Lactobacillales; Enterococcaceae
Description: bacterial SSU rRNA
Rfam family: Bacterial small subunit ribosomal RNA
Source: RNAcentral
AUCCUUUGACCAUCCUAGAGAUAGGAUUUUCCCUUCGGGGACAAAGUGACAGGUGGUGCAUGGUUGUCGUCAGCUCGUGUCGUGAGAUGUUGGGUUAAGUCCCGCAACGAGCGCAACCCUUAUUGUUAGUUGCCAUCAUUCAGUUGGGCACUCUAGCGAGACUGCCGCAGACAAUGCGGAGGAAGGUGGGGAUGACGUCAAAUCAUCAUGCCCCUUAUGACCUGGGCUACACACGUGCUACAAUGGAGAGUACAACGAGUCGCAAAGCCGCGAGGCUAAGCCAAUCUCUUAAAGCUCUUCUCAGUUCGGAUUGUAGGCUGCAACUCGCCUACAUGAAGCCGGAAUCGCUAGUAAUCGCGGAUCAGC